RNAcentral lists this ribosomal RNA (709 nucleotides) under Priestia flexa. RNAcentral's name for it is "bacterial SSU rRNA". It matches the Rfam family "Bacterial small subunit ribosomal RNA", at positions 39 to 731 of the family's 1533-position model. The record is from RNAcentral. Lineage: Bacteria; Bacillati; Bacillota; Bacilli; Caryophanales; Bacillaceae.
GCGGCGGCUACAAUGCAGUCGAGCGGUCUGAUUAGAAGCUUGCUUCUCUGACGUUCGCGGCGGACGGGUGAGUAACAUGUGUGCGACCUGCCUGGAAGACUGGGAUAACUCCGGGAAACCGGAGCUAAUACCGGAUAACAUUUUCUCUUGCAUAAAAGAAAAUUGUCUGAUGGUUUCGGCUAUCAUGUGCCCAUGUGCCCGCAGUGCAUUAGCUAGUUGGUGAGGUACCGGCUCAACAAGGCCACGAUGCAUAGACAACCUGACCAGGCGCUCUGCCACACUGACACUGACCCAACGCCCAGACUCCGACGGGAGGCGGCAUUAUGGAAUCUUCCCCAAUGCCCGAAAGUCCGACGGAGCGAGGGCGCGUGAGUGAUUAAGGCUUUCGGGUCGUUUAACUCUGUUGUAAGGGAGUAACAUUUACACGAUUAUCUGCUUGCACCUUGACCGUACCAAACCACAAAUCCACCGCUAACUACGUGCCAGCAACCGCGGAAAUACCUAGGUGGCAUGCGUUUUCCGGAAUUAUUGGCCCUAACGCGCGCGCUGUCGGUUUCUAAAUUCUGACGUCAAACUCCACGGCUCAACUGCGUAUGAUCAUUGCAAACUGGAGUACUUGAGUGCAGAAUAGAAUUGCGGAUGUCCCCGUGUAGUGCUGAAAUGCCUGGAGAUGUACAGGAGCACGCAGUGCGCCCCCCCCGGCUUUUUA